Molecule: ribosomal RNA, 253 nt
Filed under: uncultured bacterium
Lineage: Bacteria
Description: partial 16S ribosomal RNA
Rfam family: Bacterial small subunit ribosomal RNA
Source: RNAcentral
UACGGAGGGUGCAAGCGUUAUCCGGAUUUACUGGGUUUAAAGGGUGCGUAGGUGGGUUGGUAAGUCAGUGGUGAAAUACUUUCGCUUAACGAAGGAAUUGCCAUUGAUACUACCAGUCUUGAAUACAGUGGAGGUAGGCGGAAUGCGUCAUGUAGCGGUGAAAUGCUUAGAUAUCGUAAGGAAGACCAGUGGCGAAGGCGGGUCUCUGGACAGUUCCUGACGCUGAGGCGCGAAAGCGUGGGGAGCAAACAGG